This is a long non-coding RNA of Nicotiana tabacum (common tobacco), 583 nucleotides long. RefSeq lists it as uncharacterized. NCBI's taxonomy places the organism in Eukaryota, Viridiplantae, Streptophyta, Magnoliopsida, Solanales, Solanaceae. The record is from RefSeq and is a predicted model, not a curated record.
ACUAAGAAGGAAAGAGGCAAAUAUUUCUGUAUAUAAAUAGUGGCACUAAGUUAUUGUGAUCAACGAACUGAGCAUCAACAGAGAUAAACAAAAUAUUCCCAACAAUGGCUAGAGCCAACUCUCUGAAAUUCGCUUCCUACUUCAUUCUUUUACUAAUCGCUGCUCAAUUUACGUUAUUUUCUAAAACACACGUAACUGCUGCUGGAUGUUGGGACCUGUGUGUCUACAGUGAUGAAUGCACUGAUGCAAAAUGUUGGGCGUGCGAUCUCAAUGCUGGUCAGGGUGGUGGUUUCUAUGGGCGCUGUAUAGAUCCAUCCAUUUGGAAUGACGAAAAAAAGAACUAAAUAUUCGUACGUUCAAUAUAAUACCGUGCGAAUGUUUUUCCGAAUUUCAAUAAUCCAACAUACAAUAUAUCAUGUUGGUAUGUGCAUGCGUAUUUUCGUUCUUUAUUUGAAUCUGUGUCAAAGUCCAGCGCUAGCUAUAGCUGCUGGUACAUAAGAUUGUUGUGUUAUACUUUGUACGUCUACCUAUGUCAAAAUUAUUAUCAAUAAUAAAUAAAAAAAAUAAGUCCUAUCGUGCUCUA